AGACUCAGUUCUUCAAUGAACCAAGCCAUUAAUUUUCUCGGACACUUCAUUCCCUCAUCUGUGCAAGACAGAAUGACACCAGGUUCUUGCUAACCUUCUUCUGACUCAAAAAUUUCAACAAAUGUUUUAUAUUCCUCUAAUCUGAAUUUGGCUCCUUAUAGUCAAAAAUGAGAAUUUUUGUUUCAUUUAUAUUAUUCAAAAUUUAUAUUAAGAGUUUUAAAAUACACUUGUAUUUUUGAAGCCCAUGUCCUGAAGAAUAUUUUGGAAGCACACAGCUAUUCAUGAUCAACUGUUCCAGGAACACACAAUGUGUUUCAAGUUUUGGUCAGUAUCCUCAGAGGACAGAGCGCGUGUGGUGAGAAAUGGAAAGACCUGGGCAGCUGUCAUGAAAAAAGCAUCCUUGCAUUCCUUCUGUGCAAUGAUAUACUGGGCUCAGUGCACCAAAGGUUGGUCGGUGUUAGAGAAGCAGUGACGCCAAGGAGAGAGAGAGAAUUACAAGAGGACACAGUUAAAUGAAGACACUUCUCCUUUGGCUCAUGUUUCUCCCCACUCCAGCACACUAAUGAGAGCCAGGAGGAGGCAGCUCAGAGCCAGAGCUUGCCUCGCCCCGCCCCAGCUUCCUGAAAACAUCUGGGUCUCAGAUCAGAUCCAGGAUGGUUUGAGACAACCUCAUUCUUACAUUGAAUUUGAGAUGAAACUUGAGAGGGUAUAUGUUUCAAUAACUAAAAGUUGUGAAAACAUUUUGGAAUCUGCUCCAAUGACACUAAAGGAUUGGAAAGGAUGAUUGACAAAGCAUAGUUGAAAUAGCGAUGAUAAGAAAAUGAAAUAAGAUCACUGAGUUGAAGCUGUGUACCUCUCCACUCUCAUGUGGAUAAGACUGAAUGGCUCUCUGCAGAAGAAACCUUGUAGAGUCUUGAAAAAUUCUGGAAAUAACCUUGUAUUUUCUCUUUUACCUCUUUGACAUAAAUAUAAAAGGAAGAAUAGAAAACUGCAUGCAUUUCUGGGCAAAAUGCAAAGUCUGUGUUUGAAACAAUUAUUAUUCUAUGAGCAGAUUCAAGUUCCAUUUGUUAUGUCACUUUUCAUAUCAUCAGCUCUGUCUGGGAGACUCGGGUUUUCUGUCUGUAUUAUGUGUAUAUUUGUUUUCUAUAUAAACUCUGUCUUUUUUGUUACCUUUAUUUUCAAUAACAAAGCAUAAAGACAAAGUAUAAUCUUCCCAAACUAUAUGCUAAGGCACUAUUAUUAUUAUUAUUUUACCUUUUUUUUCUUUGAGAAUUGUCUCAUGGAAAAGGGUUGUUACUGGUGGCAGGCACAAUAUCACAAUACAGUUCCUGUGAAGAUGUUCACAUUUACCCUUUAACUAAGAUCUGUGUUUAUAUAAAUAUCGUUAAACAAUAAGAUCA
This is a long non-coding RNA of Artibeus jamaicensis (Jamaican fruit-eating bat), 1400 nucleotides long. RefSeq lists it as uncharacterized. NCBI's taxonomy places the organism in Eukaryota, Metazoa, Chordata, Mammalia, Chiroptera, Phyllostomidae. The transcript has 3 exons. The record is from RefSeq and is a predicted model, not a curated record.